This is a long non-coding RNA of Xenia sp. Carnegie-2017, 371 nucleotides long. RefSeq lists it as uncharacterized. NCBI's taxonomy places the organism in Eukaryota, Metazoa, Cnidaria, Anthozoa, Malacalcyonacea, Xeniidae. The record is from RefSeq and is a predicted model, not a curated record. The transcript has 2 exons.
UAAUGUUUUUGUCGAUUUUUACUAAGUUCAAUACCGUUUUUUUCAUCAAAAUAUAACUUAAAAAAAUAAAAACAACUUAUUCAUAAUGUCAUGAGAGAGAAGUGAAAUGAUAUUUAGAAGAGUAAACGAAGAAAACUAUAAACGUUUUUUAUGCAAUUCUCCCUCAUAUCAGCCAUGACUAAAAGUCAUAAGUAAACAUUGAAUUUAUGUAUCAUAUAUGCUGUUAUGGAUGACAACAUAAGACCCAAUUCAAUCCUCGGAGAAACAAUUGAAGAGUAUUACGAAAACAUCGUAAAAACAGCUUUGGCGUUCGCUGUUAUCAGAAUGAAGCCAUCAUAUAUGAGUGGUAAACUUUACACUCAAGUCUUACA